RNAcentral lists this ribosomal RNA (274 nucleotides) under uncultured bacterium. RNAcentral's name for it is "partial 16S ribosomal RNA". It matches the Rfam family "Bacterial small subunit ribosomal RNA", at positions 523 to 796 of the family's 1533-position model. The record is from RNAcentral.
AUACGAAGGUCCCAAGCGUUAUUCGGAAUCACUGGGCGUAAAGAGUACGUAGGCGGUUUGGUAAGUCAGGUGUGAAAUCCCGGAGCUCAACUCCGGAACUGCAUCCGAUACUGCCAGACUUGAGUAAUGGAGAGGCAGGUGGAAUUCUCGGUGUAGCAGUGAAAUGCGUGGAUAUCGAGAGGAAGACCAAUGGCGAAGGCAGCCUGCUGGACAUUUACUGACGCUGAGGUACGAAGGCUAGGGGAGCGAAAGGGAUUAGAUACCCCGGUAGUCC